CAAGUGAUGUAUCUCAAGGCUUCGAUACCACUGACUGAGAUCUGAAGGCUAUUUCCUCCCUGA
This 63-nucleotide small nucleolar RNA is filed under the name Euglena gracilis. RNAcentral's name for it is "Eg-m125 box C/D methylation-guide". Lineage: Eukaryota; Euglenozoa; Euglenophyceae; Euglenales; Euglenaceae. The record is from RNAcentral.